RNAcentral lists this long non-coding RNA (580 nucleotides) under Androctonus crassicauda. The record is from RNAcentral. Lineage: Eukaryota; Metazoa; Arthropoda; Arachnida; Scorpiones; Buthidae.
AUAAAAGAUCACCCUUCAGCUAUAUUAUUAUUAUUAUAUUUUAUAAAAAUCAUGAAUAGGAUCCAGCAGUUCGAAAAAGCCGCAAUAAUGGAUAUUGAGGGCUUUUCAUUCAAAAGUGGAAUUUUCCACAGGACGAUUUCGUUAAUAUCACUAGAUGACGAAGAAGACUAUUGCACGUUUCAUUUUUACACCACAAAACCUCAUCAUAACUACCACAAGCUUUCGCCAUCAGAGAAAAAAAACUAUAAAUUUCCAACGGAGGUUACACGGAUUAAAGAUAGAAUACCCACCAUAGCCCGACAACCCAACAACAGCGUGGUAUGAGUACAGAUCUUUGGUGAUGGAACGUAUUAAAGCCAUUAAAAACGUCAUUUUUUACAAGGGAGGGCAUAUUGAGAAAGAUCUAUGCCUAAAAUACGCCAUUCCCCAUGUCGAUCUAGAACAGUGGUUCCCAACCUUUUUCUCCUUGCGAACCCCUUGUAAAAUCCGAAAGAAAUUGGUGAACCCCUUGUGUAGUCGUUAAUAACAGGUAAGAAAACAAUAAUAUUUGGUAGAACAUUUAUUUUCCAUGUUGCACAAU